GCUGGCCCAUUAAAGGGAUCCACACACCCAAGGACUAUGCCAGGAACCGUGUACAAUGCAGACUUCUCAGAGAUAGCACAGCGACAAUGGACACUGCCUGACUCACAUCAUAGCAAAGGUACUUCCUAGCAAGUUGGAAGAAACUAUGAAAGGGGGGAAAAGAGAAUCAUGA
Molecule: long non-coding RNA, 172 nt
Organism: Gopherus evgoodei (Goodes thornscrub tortoise)
Lineage: Eukaryota; Metazoa; Chordata; Testudines; Testudinidae
Exons: 3
Source: RefSeq, a predicted model, not a curated record